RNAcentral lists this long non-coding RNA (1526 nucleotides) under Anas platyrhynchos platyrhynchos (common mallard). Its description in RNAcentral is "lncRNA (ENSAPLG00000029645.1)". Lineage: Eukaryota; Metazoa; Chordata; Aves; Anseriformes; Anatidae. The record is from RNAcentral.
GCGGGACUAGUCGGUACAUUUCCAUGUGAAAGGGCUUUUGUUCUUACAUUACUCUGUGUGUGUGUUUUUCUUUUUUGUUGUUUGUGUGUGUGUGUGUGUUUUUAAACCUGGAGGAUGUCCAAUGAAGAACAAUAGUUAAGACUCCAAAGGUUUCAAAGUUAAGCACCCUGGUGCUGGAAGCUGCCAGAAGUCAGGCUGUUCACAUGAGUAGAGUUUGAUCUCCUGUUUUGAUUUCUUUUAACAAGAUUCUGCAUAUUUCAGCAGAGGGCCCUAAGCUCAUUCAGUGCGUCGGUUGGACAGUGAACAAUGCAGUGCGCCAUAAAGCAAAUACUUUCUCUAGUCAUUAAGGCACAGCAUGGAUAUCCAGGAGAGGUUAUCUGGGACAUCCUCACAGAGACGACCAGGACCUAGAGGAGAUGCAUGCCCUUAUGGAGCAGGAGUUGGAGGCCAUGAUGGAGAACAAGUGUCAAGAAACUUUAUCUAUGGGCAUCCAAAUCCCAUCCUGGGUGUUUUUGGAGAGAUGUGAGGUAUCAUGGAGUCACUGCUAACAUUAUGCUCAUGUUCUGGGAGUCUCCCUUCCUCUCAUGGUGCUCCUGGGAUGAAGGUGGGCAGGUGUGUGCUGUGUGCCAGCAUGGACAGUCUCAGAGGCAUUAAGCUGGUUGCAUAUCUCACAGACUUCUGCUGAAACCCCAUCCUUCCAUUACUGCUGUUGUAGCUAAGGGCCUUAAGAAGAAAUGUUUGGGUUUUGUACUUGGGUGCUUGCAGCAGGGCAGCUCCACGUGCGGGUGUCUGCUGCCCUAACAGUACCUCUGCCGGCAGCUGCCUUGGUAACAGCGUGGUGAUGAGGACCAUAUGGCACAAACGCAGCACUGCUGCUCUAGGAACAUCUCUUAACCCUUUGGAGGGCAUCUUCUGCCAGGACUGGUAACGUGGUGGGUUUAAAUGGGUUUAACGUGGUACAGGGGCUAAGCAGUGCAGCCUCUCAGAUUUGGUAGUGGUCCCCUGCAGAUGCCCAAGGAACAAAGGAGAAAUGAAGGAAAUCAGAAUUGGUGCUUUCAGUUCUCUAUUGCCCUGCUUGCUGAGAAAUAGGAGAUGAGUGGCUUCCUGAUCCACAGGGUUGUGUCCACAGGUUUGUGUUUCAGGUCCCUCGGUAGACUUUGAGGAACCUGUCGAGUUUAUAAAACUUCCCCACUCGUGUACAGCUGCUUGCACCCUGAUGUAAGCUCAUGAAAGUGACAGCAAUAUUGUUCCAUCCAUCUAGUCAUGUAGAUUUCUUAGCCUGCCAGUUGGAUUCCUGUUGUAAUGUCUUGGCAAUAGCAAAAUUAAUUUCACUAGGAAUACCAAAAUAUUGCUGGAAAAUUACACUGAAAACAGUAAAAUAGGCUGAAAAUGCUAAAGAACUGGUGGGUUAGCCAACUUUAACAGUGUCUAGAUGCAUGGAGAAAAGCAGAAAAACAGGAAAAGGAUAUAUAAUAUUUCCACCGGACACUUUGCAAUAUGUCAUAUGGAGCCCUUCCGAGGCAGUG